Molecule: long non-coding RNA, 1144 nt
Organism: Oncorhynchus gorbuscha (pink salmon)
Lineage: Eukaryota; Metazoa; Chordata; Actinopteri; Salmoniformes; Salmonidae
Exons: 4
Source: RefSeq, a predicted model, not a curated record
CUUGGCUGAUUUCUUUUGAUUUUCCCAUGAUGUCAAACAAAGAGUCACUGAGUUUGAAGAGCCUCAGUACCAGCUGGCGAAGGGGACUCCUCUCCAGGUUCAUCUGUCUAUAGGAUGAAAUGACCCAUGGGACUGAGGAGACCUGCUGGAAUGUAUUGUGAUGCAGAGACGCUGUCAUAGCAGAUUUAGCUUCCAGCUCCAGAUUAAGCCCCAGCAUCCAUCAGUCCAGAAGGGGGAACGCUAGAAAAGGGCAGCAGGAAGGCAUCUUCCGGACGGUCCAGAGGGGAAGCCGGCCAGGUGGAAGAGGACGUCAUACUCAGACAGAGGGUAGAGAGGAUGGAGGGCAUUACCUCUUCCUGACGGGACAGUGCGGAACGCAGUGGCGCCCUGGCGGAGUCCUCGUAUGAAUCACUCUGUGAACUUUAUUGUUGUUUCUGUCAGGCAGCUUGGUGUGAAAGAGUUUCUGUCUGUUCCCUUGUUCUAUACCGAGACCUCCAGACUGGCUGCGCCCUUCCCUCCCGCCGGCCAGCUUGAUUGGGUUGACCAUUAACACUGGGAUGGGUGUGUCCCACCCACCGCACUGCCGCUUGGACAAAGCAUGAGUCCCAAAUGGCACCCUAUUCCCUAUAUUGUCCCCUACAUUUGACCAGGGCCCUGUAGUGCACUACUGUGUGUAGGGUAUAUAGGAUUCCAUUUGGGAUGCAACCAGGAGAGCAGAAGGACCUCUGGGAGACAUGCCUGCUGACUUUGUUCUGUCAGGGAAAGGUUGGGAACUGUGAAGGUUGGACAGAACCCGCCAUGAAGGCCCCCCCCCCUUCCUUCCCCUUCCCCGCAUAUCUAUCUUCUCCAAGACAUGCACUUCAUGGCACUGAGGACUUGGCAGGAUGACAAAAACUAGGCUGAGCUACAAAUAUGAUUAUACAUGAUAAAAGAGAGAGAGGCCUUCACACGACUCUUAUCAGACUGAACCCUGACCCUGUUGUUUUAGUUGUCAGACAGCCUCUGUCAACAACAGCUUUCUGAGUCUGACUACAUGUGUCAGUCCCAAAUGGUACCCUAUUCCAUAUGUAGUGCACCACUUAGCCAUAGGGCUCUGGUCAAAAGUAGUGCACCACUUAGCCAUAGGGCUCUGGUCAAAAGUAGU